AUGACCUCGGAUCAGGUAGGGAUACCCGCUGAACUUAAGCAUAUCAAUAAGCGGAGGAAAAGAAACCAACAGGGAUUACCUCAG
Molecule: ribosomal RNA, 84 nt
Filed under: Podosphaera xanthii
Lineage: Eukaryota; Fungi; Ascomycota; Leotiomycetes; Helotiales; Erysiphaceae
Description: partial 28S ribosomal RNA
Rfam family: Eukaryotic large subunit ribosomal RNA
Source: RNAcentral